AACCUCUCAGGAUUUCACCUGGAGAGUUUCCAGUCCUCUACCAGUCUUGGAUACGGGGGGGGAGAGUCAAGCAGAGGCCUACCCAUUCCAUUCCCAGCUUGGCCAGUGGCUAGCGAGUGGAAGGCCAUCUGCUACAAGU
Molecule: small nucleolar RNA, 139 nt
Filed under: Ornithorhynchus anatinus (platypus)
Lineage: Eukaryota; Metazoa; Chordata; Mammalia; Monotremata; Ornithorhynchidae
Source: RNAcentral